CUGAACCUUCGGGGAACGUUAACGGCGUCGAGCGGCGGACGGGUGAGUAAUGCCUAGGAAAUUGCCCUGAUGUGGGGGAUAACCAUUGGAAACGAUGGCUAAUACCGCAUGAUGCCUACGGGCCAAAGAGGGGGACCUUCGGGCCUCUCGCGUCAGGAUAUGCCUAGGUGGGAUUAGCUAGUUGGUGAGGUAAGGGCUCACCAAGGCGACGAUCCCUAGCUGGUCUGAGAGGAUGAUCAGCCACACUGGAACUGAGACACGGUCCAGACUCCUACGGGAGGCAGCAGUGGGGAAUAUUGCACAAUGGGCGCAAGCCUGAUGCAGCCAUGCCGCGUGUGUGAAGAAGGCCUUCGGGUUGUAAAGCACUUUCAGUCGUGAGGAAGGUUUAUGCGUUAAUAGCGUAUAGAUUUGACGUUAGCGACAGAAGAAGCACCGGCUAACUCCGUGCCAGCAGCCGCGGUAAUACGGAGGGUGCGAGCGUUAAUCGGAAUUACUGGGCGUAAAGCGCAUGCAGGUGGUUUGUUAAGUCAGAUGUGAAAGCCCGGGGCUCAACCUCGGAAUAGCAUUUGAAACUGGCA
This 578-nucleotide ribosomal RNA is filed under the name Catenococcus sp. S123. Its description in RNAcentral is "bacterial SSU rRNA". It matches the Rfam family "Bacterial small subunit ribosomal RNA", at positions 67 to 638 of the family's 1533-position model. The record is from RNAcentral. Lineage: Bacteria; Pseudomonadati; Pseudomonadota; Gammaproteobacteria; Vibrionales; Vibrionaceae.